This 1355-nucleotide ribosomal RNA is filed under the name uncultured bacterium. RNAcentral's name for it is "bacterial SSU rRNA". It matches the Rfam family "Bacterial small subunit ribosomal RNA", at positions 18 to 1394 of the family's 1533-position model. The record is from RNAcentral.
CCUGGCUCAGGACGAACGCUGGCGGCGCGCCUAACACAUGCAAGUCGAACGAGCGAGAGAGAGCUUGCUUUCUCGAGCGAGUGGCGAACGGGUGAGUAACGCGUGAGGAACCUGCCUCAAAGAGGGGGACAACAGUUGGAAACGACUGCUAAUACCGCAUAAGCCCACGGUGCCGCAUGGCACAGAGGGAAAAGGAGUAAUCCGCUUUGAGAUGGCCUCGCGUCCGAUUAGCUAGUUGGUGAGGUAACGGCCCACCAAGGCGACGAUCGGUAGCCGGACUGAGAGGUUGAACGGCCACAUUGGGACUGAGACACGGCCCAGACUCCUACGGGAGGCAGCAGUGGGGAAUAUUGCACAAUGGGGGAAACCCUGAUGCAGCGACGCCGCGUGGAGGAAGAAGGUCUUCGGAUUGUAAACUCCUGUUGUUGGGGAAGAUAAUGACGGUACCCAACAAGGAAGUGACGGCUAACUACGUGCCAGCAGCCGCGGUAAAACGUAGGUCACAAGCGUUGUCCGGAAUUACUGGGUGUAAAGGGAGCGCAGGCGGGAAGACAAGUUGGAAGUGAAAUCUAUGGGCUCAACCCAUAAACUGCUUUCAAAACUGUUUUUCUUGAGUAGUGCAGAGGUAGGCGGAAUUCCCGGUGUAGCGGUGGAAUGCGUAGAUAUCGGGAGGAACACCAGUGGCGAAGGCGGCCUACUGGGCACCAACUGACGCUGAGGCUCGAAAGUGUGGGUAGCAAACAGGAUUAGAUACCCUGGUAGUCCACACCGUAAACGAUGAUUACUAGGUGUUGGAGGAUUGACCCCUUCAGUGCCGCAGUUAACACAAUAAGUAAUCCACCUGGGGAGUACGACCGCAAGGUUGAAACUCAAAGGAAUUGACGGGGGCCCGCACAAGCAGUGGAGUAUGUGGUUUAAUUCGACGCAACGCGAAGAACCUUACCAAGUCUUGACAUCCCUUGACAGACAUAGAAAUAUGUAAUCUCUUCGGAGCAAGGAGACAGGUGGUGCAUGGUUGUCGUCAGCUCGUGUCGUGAGAUGUUGGGUUAAGUCCCGCAACGAGCGCAACCCUUAUGGUCAGUUACUACGCAAGAGGACUCUGGCCAGACUGCCGUUGACAAAACGGAGGAAGGUGGGGAUGACGUCAAAUCAUCAUGCCCUUUAUGACUUGGGCUACACACGUACUACAAUGGCGUUAAACAAAGAGAAGCAAGACCGCGAGGUGGAGCAAAACUCAGAAACAACGUCCCAGUUCGGACUGCAGGCUGCAACUCGCCUGCACGAAGUCGGAAUUGCUAGUAAUCGUGGAUCAGCAUGCCACGGUGAAUACGUUCCCGGGCCUUGUACACACCGCC